CAGUAGCCGCGGUAAUACGAAGGGUGCAAGCGUAAAUCGGAAUUACUGGGCGUAAAGCGUGCGUAGGCGGUUUGUUAAGUCUGUUGUGAAAUCCCCGGGCUCAACCUGGGAAUGGCAAUGGAUACUGGCAAGCUAGAGUGUGUCAGAGGAUGGUGGAAUUCCCGGUGUAGCGGUGAAAUGCGUAGAGAUCGGGAGGAACAUCAGUGGCGAAGGCGGCCAUCUGGGACAACACUGACGCUGAGGCACGAAAGCGUGGGGAGCAAACAGGAUUAGAUACCCCCGUAGUCCCUGUCUCUUAUAC
This 301-nucleotide ribosomal RNA is filed under the name uncultured bacterium. Its description in RNAcentral is "partial 16S ribosomal RNA". It matches the Rfam family "Bacterial small subunit ribosomal RNA", at positions 509 to 807 of the family's 1533-position model. The record is from RNAcentral.